This 430-nucleotide ribosomal RNA is filed under the name uncultured cyanobacterium. RNAcentral's name for it is "bacterial SSU rRNA". It matches the Rfam family "Bacterial small subunit ribosomal RNA", at positions 1075 to 1502 of the family's 1533-position model. The record is from RNAcentral. Lineage: Bacteria; Bacillati; Cyanobacteriota.
UUGGGUUAAGUCCCGCAACGAGCGCAACCCUCGUUUUUAGUUCGCCAUCAUUAAGUUGGGCACUCUAGAGAGACUGCCGGUGACAAACCGGAGGAAGGUGAGGAUGACGUCAAGUCAGCAUGGCCCUUACGUCCUGGGCUACACACGUACUACAAUGCUACGGACAAAGGGCAGCAAGCCAGCGAUGGCAAGCAAAUCUCGUAAACCGUAGCUCAGUUCAGAUUGUAGGCUGCAACUCGCCUACAUGAAGUCGGAAUCGCUAGUAAUUGCAGGUCAGCAUACUGCAGUGAAUUCGUUCCCGGGCCUUGUACACACCGCCCGUCACACCAUGGGAGCUGGUUACGCCCGAAGUCGUUACUCUAACCGUUCGCGGAGGGGGACGCCGAAGGUAGAACUGGUGACUUGGGGUGAAGUCGUAACAAGGUAACCA